CAGACAUGCUUCAGCUAGCAGCUAGUCAUUUGCAGAAGCAGCGUCUGUGCGAGGAAGCCGGUACUCCUCCGGCUGGAGGGCCACCGCGAAAUCCGGCAGCGCCGGCACCGUCUCGUGUGUCCUGUCAGCAUUGCUGUAGAGGUCCUUGUUGAUGCGAACCUUGCAGUUGGAGUCCUUGUGGAUCUUGUCGUGGAGAUUGCCUUGAAAAGGGGGAUGCGGUGUGGAAGGCCUCGCAGACGGCCCUGCUCUCCCUCAGGGACUCCUCUGCGGACUGCAGCGCUGCCACAGCCGCCCGGGUUCAGAGAUAUGAGCAAAGCCUGCAUAUGUACUUUUGCUUCCAUGUGCUUCCACUUGACAAAGAGCCUGUGCUUUUCGCCCCAGCCGUCGAGCAGAGGUAGCUUUCAGGACCCCUUCAGACAGGUCCACGGGAAGACCUUUCCUACACGAAAUGGCAGUCAGUACUCAGUCCUUGCUGGACAAUAACUGAAGAAAAAUGGAAGCUUGGAGCAUUGCUCAUCAUGCCGGGCUGGCUAGGGCAGGUGGCAAGAUCACCACCUCUUUUCGGGCGACAUCCUGGGAAGAACAUGCUGCAUGGCGCACUCCAGGUGCCCGGCCGCCUUGAGGAACACCUCGACUGAUGCGCGCUUGUUCUCUGAAGAAGUAUGCGUCAUGCAGGCGGAUACAAAGAAACAUUCAGAACUGUAACAGACACUGAUUCCAGGUAUGAUGACAGACCUUCGGAUACUUUGGUGUGGUAUCCCUCGAGAGACGUCUUUGGCAGGAGCAGGGAGUUUGCCUGGGAUAGACGGAGCAUGGCCAUCAUGUGCAGCACCGAGAGCACCUCGUACCAGGCGCUGGGCAACGCUGUUUCCUGCCAACACCAGGACAGGUUAAUUAUCUUCAGGUUUCAUCCAUGCAACAAACAAAGAUUGGAUAUACCUCUGCAUCAUCUUCUUGGUUCAUCCAUGCAAACUGUAUCUUGUCCUCCAGCUCGCUGCCUGCCAAGAGUCCAGUAACAAUGAUGGGAACACAAAAAAAGUCUAAAGAAUCUUCAGAGAGAUGGAUCAAGCACAAGGUGUACAGGUCAAAAUGAGGAGCUACCAUCUUUUGCCAUCCCUAGAAUGACUGGCAGAUACUCUUCCAAGGCCAGCACAAGAUCAGCAGACGUGGACGCCCCUGCAAGAAACAAUGUUCAGAGUGUCAAAUGCGAGAUUUAUUCAGACUGUUAAGUGCAAGGUUCAGACUGUCAGUUCCCAAAUUCAGAAUGUUGCACACUAGAUUCAGAGUGUCAGUUCCUAAGUUCAGAAUGUUACAUACUAGAUUCAGAGUGUCAGUUCCCAAGUUCAGAAUGUUACAUACUACUGAUUCAGACUGUCAGUUACCAAAUUCAGACAAACACUAGCACUAUGAACAACUGUGUAACACAUGAACCAUGCAGAAACACGAACCAUGCUGUG
This is a long non-coding RNA of Triticum aestivum (bread wheat), 1457 nucleotides long. RefSeq lists it as uncharacterized. The transcript is spliced from 4 exons. The record is from RefSeq and is a predicted model, not a curated record. NCBI's taxonomy places the organism in Eukaryota, Viridiplantae, Streptophyta, Magnoliopsida, Poales, Poaceae.